AACGAACGCUGGCGGCAUGCCUAACACAUGCAAGUCGAACGAGACCUUCGGGUCUAGUGGCGCACGGGUGCGUAACGCGUGGGAACCUGCCCUUAGGUUCGGAAUAACUCCCCGAAAGGGGUGCUAAUACCGGAUAAUGUCUUCGGACCAAAGAUUUAUCGCCUUUGGAUGGGCCCGCGUUGGAUUAGCUAGUUGGUAGGGUAAAAGCCUACCAAGGCGACGAUCCAUAGCUGGUCUGAGAGGAUGAUCAGCCACACUGGGACUGAGACACGGCCCAGACUCCUACGGGAGGCAGCAGUGGGGAAUAUUGGACAAUGGGCGAAAGCCUGAUCCAGCAAGGCCGCGUGAGUGAUGAAGGCCGUAGGGUUGUAAAGCUCUUUUACCCGGGAUGAUAAUGACGGUACCGGGAGAAUAAGCUCCGGCUAACUCCGUG
This 433-nucleotide ribosomal RNA is filed under the name uncultured bacterium. RNAcentral describes it as "partial 16S ribosomal RNA". It matches the Rfam family "Bacterial small subunit ribosomal RNA", at positions 29 to 507 of the family's 1533-position model. The record is from RNAcentral.